AGCUCCAAUAGUGUAUCUUAAUGUUGUUGCAGUUAAAAAGCUCGUAGUUGAAUUUCUGGCCGGGGGAACCGCACAUGUGUGGAGCCCCUGGUCAUCCGGCCUGGAAGGGAUACUUGUACUUUAUUGGACGGUACCUAGAAGGGUCAUUUUACUUUGAAGAAAUUAGAGUGUUCCAGGCAGGCCUUGCUUGAAUACAUCAGCAUGGAAUAAUGGAAAAGGACAGCGUCCAUUUUAUUGGUUAUUGGAGGUUGUAAUGAUUAACAGGGACAGUUGGGGGCAUUCGUAUUCAUUAGUCAGAGGUGAAAUUCUUGGAUUUGAUGAAGACGAACUAAUGCGAAAGCAUUUGCCAAGGAUGUUUUCA
RNAcentral lists this ribosomal RNA (361 nucleotides) under uncultured eukaryote. RNAcentral's name for it is "SSU rRNA". It matches the Rfam family "Eukaryotic small subunit ribosomal RNA", at positions 587 to 972 of the family's 1831-position model. The record is from RNAcentral.